Molecule: ribosomal RNA, 256 nt
Filed under: uncultured prokaryote
Description: partial 16S ribosomal RNA
Rfam family: Bacterial small subunit ribosomal RNA
Source: RNAcentral
UAAGACAGAGGGGGCAAGCGUUGCUCGGAAUUACUGGGCGUAAAGGGCGCGUAGGCGGGAUGGCAAGUCGGUCGUGAAAUCCUCGGGCUCAACUCGAGGGGGUCGGCCGAUACUGCCGUUCUUGAGGGAUGCAGAGGAGACUGGAAUUCCCGGUGUAGCGGUGAAAUGUGUAGAGAUCGGGAGGAACACCGGUGGCGAAGGCGGGUCUCUGGGCAUUCCCUGACGCUGAGGCGCGAAAGCGUGGGGAGCAAACGGG